ACAGAGGCUAAGGAGGAAGAAGCUGCUGUUGGGAAAACAGAGGAAGUUGCUGCUGCUCCUGUUGAAGCAGAGGAGGUUAAGGAAGUAGAAGCUGAAGCCGAGAAGGUUGAGGAGCCGGCUUCCGCCGUCGCUGUUGAGGAGCCAGUUUCCGCUGCCGCAGCCGUGGAGGAAACGGCACCGGAACCCGAAUCUGAGCCGGCUGUUGCUGAGGAGCCAGCUGCUGCUCCAGCUGAAGAACCAGUUGCAGAAGCUGUGGCGGAGCCAGUUGAGGAGCCAGCUGCAACAGAGGCAGAAGUUAUUGUGGAUAAGACUGAGGCCUGAAGAACUCGGUCGGGUAUUGGAUUAAUAUAUGGGGGGUUAUGUUUUUAGUAUGAAGAAGAUUAUCUCUGUUACUGUUUUUUGUUCUUUCUUUACUGGUUUAAGAAGUUUGGUGUGUUCUGGUGAUGGAUAGUAAUGUAUGGGGGAUGUGUUGUGGGUCCACGUAAGCAUUUUGUGGCGCCAUGUGGGUUUACAUAAUUGGGUGAGUUUCAAGAUUAAUUUUAUAUAAUUUGAUGAAACUUUGAUUUAUAUUACUAUACUUGGUAUGUGUUUUGUU
RNAcentral lists this long non-coding RNA (595 nucleotides) under Linum usitatissimum (flax). RNAcentral describes it as "long non-coding RNA (LUSI_LNC008156)". The record is from RNAcentral. Lineage: Eukaryota; Viridiplantae; Streptophyta; Magnoliopsida; Malpighiales; Linaceae.